Molecule: ribosomal RNA, 465 nt
Filed under: uncultured Methanosaeta sp.
Lineage: Archaea; Methanobacteriati; Methanobacteriota; Methanomicrobia; Methanotrichales; Methanotrichaceae
Description: bacterial SSU rRNA
Rfam family: Archaeal small subunit ribosomal RNA
Source: RNAcentral
CACCACGAACGGGUGGAGCUUGUCGGUUUAAUUGGAUUCAACGCCGGAAAUCUUACCGGGACCGACAGCAAUAUGAAGGCCAGGCUGAAGACUUUGCCGGAUUAGCUGAGAGGUGGUGCAUUGGCCGUCGUCAGUUCGUACUGUGAAGCAUCCUGUUAAGUCAGGCAACGAGCGAGACCCACGCCCACAGUUGCCAGCGUACUCUCUGGAGUGACGGGUACACUGUGGGGACCGCCGCUGCUAAAGCGGAGGAAGGAAUGGGCAACGGUAGGUCAGUAUGCCCCGAAUAUCCCGGGCUACACGCGAGCUACAAUGGUUGGUACAAUGGGUAUCUACCCCGAAAGGGGACGGGAAUCUCCUAAAACCAAUCUUAGUUCGGAUUGAGGGCUGCAACUCGCCCUCAUGAAGCUGGAAUCCGUAGUAAUCGCGUUUCAACAGAACGCGGUGAAUACGUCCCUGCUCCUU